RNAcentral lists this long non-coding RNA (1114 nucleotides) under Solanum tuberosum (potato). RNAcentral describes it as "long non-coding RNA (STUB_LNC007589)". The record is from RNAcentral. Lineage: Eukaryota; Viridiplantae; Streptophyta; Magnoliopsida; Solanales; Solanaceae.
GAAGAGUUAAUUCGGUUAAAAAUGAUAGUCUGAGUAGUUCUGACCGACUACAGGUUAGCAAGCAUCUAUGUGUUUGAGUUCUAUUCAUUUCGGGAGAUUUUGCCCCUUGUUUUUGUUGUUAAACCUCUUUUUUAGUGUGGCUUUAAUUAUUAGCCGAUUUUAUUUUAUUUUCUACAUUAGUCUUAAAUAGUUGUUCGGUUCAUUUCCCAGAAUAUGUCUUUUUUCUUAAAAAUGAUUUCUUUGGGCAUAAUAUUCCAAGAUAUAGGCUCAAUGUUCACAUGACUGUGUACAUGCUGUUUCUAUAUAUAUAUAAUUUAGUUUAUUAUUAUUAUUAUUUUAUUUUAUUUUGCUGACUUGAAUGUGUGGUAAAGAUCGACCUUACUUUUUUUUUUAUAUGUUUGUUGUCCAUAUGCAUGUGUUGCUAGCUACUGUAUUGACUCAUUCGACUUGGAAUGAUCAACAUGCUCUCUUAGUUACUCUUUUAAAGUUCGUUAGCUUUCAAUGUGUCUCUGUGUAAUAUACUUUAAUAGGAUUGUAUGUCGAUUUAUACUCUCUUGAGCUCGUUCACGGUUCUUAAAUAAAUCGUGUUACUCUCUCUAUUUUUAUCUCAAGUUGGUUUAUAUAUUAAUUAUUUUCCUUUGCUUCGUUUGCAUGUGGAAACUCCUUUGAGUUCAUGGUGGACUCUUUCUCCUCUCUUUUGCAUUUUUAAAUUGAGCCAUAGGCUCAAGUCUUCCUCUUCGAGUCAACCUCUCUUUCAUUUGGAUCAUAGAGAAGCUGGUGGACAGGUCCUUGGAGGCAAAAUGCAGGUGGAAUGUGGAAAUAUAAGUCCCAAAAGUCCAGAAAAUGAGUUGUAUACACAAUGUAUACACUGGUAUACAGAUCUAAAUUAUUAAAAACCGGAAAUACGGGUUGCAGGGGUCGAAAAGGAGUGUAUACAUUUGGAAUACGGCCCCAUAUACAUGAAAACGAGCCUAAAUACCGUAUACAGGAUAUACGUAAAGAAUAUACACAGAUUUUCUGAAGGCAAAUAUGCCCAAAGGCCUUGACCCAUUGCUAGCAGGUCCAGGGGGCAGCGAAAAUGGGCCUAAAAAGCCCAAAAGAAUGGCCCAGCAGC